Molecule: ribosomal RNA, 373 nt
Filed under: uncultured bacterium
Lineage: Bacteria
Description: bacterial SSU rRNA
Rfam family: Bacterial small subunit ribosomal RNA
Source: RNAcentral
CAGCAGCCGCGGUAAUACGUAGGGGGCAAGCGUUAUCCGGAUUUACUGGGUGUAAGGGGAGCGUAGACGGCGCAGCAAGUCUGAUGUGAAAGGCAGGGGCUUAACCCCUGGACUGCAUUGGAAACUGCUGUGCUUGAGUGCCGGAGGGGUAAGCGGAAUUCCUAGUGUAGCGGUGAAAUGCGUAGAUAUUAGGAGGAACACCAGUGGCGAAGGCGGCUUACUGGACGGUAACUGACGUUGAGGCUCGAAAGCGUGGGGAGCAAACAGGAUUAGAUACCCUGGUAGUCCACGCCGUAAACGACGAAUACUAGGUGUCAGGGAGCACAGCUCUUUGGUGCCGCCGCAAACGCAUUAAGUAUUCCACCUGGGGAGU